UGGGGAAUUUUGGACAAUGGGCGAAAGCCUGAUCCAGCAAUGCCGCGUGUGUGAAGAAGGCCUUCGGGUUGUAAAGCACUUUUGUCCGGAAAGAAAUCCUUGGCUCUAAUACAGUCGGGGGAUGACGGUACCGGAAGAAUAAGCACCGGCUAACUACGUGCCAGCAGCCGCGGUAAUACGUAGGGUGCAAGCGUUAAUCGGAAUUACUGGGCGUAAAGCGUGCGCAGGCGGUUUGCUAAGACCGAUGUGAAAUCCCCGGGCUCAACCUGGGAACUGCAUUGGUGACUGGCAGGCUAGAGUAUGGCAGAGGGGGGUAGAAUUCCACGUGUAGCAGUGAAAUGCGUAGAGAUGUGGAGGAAUACCGAUGGCGAAGGCAGCCCCCUGGGCCAAUACUGACGCUCAUGCACGAAAGCGUGGGGAGCAAACAGGAUUAGAUACCCUGGUAGUCCACGCCCUAAACGAUGUCAACUAGUUGUUGGGGAUUCAUUUCCUUAGUAACGUAGCUAACGCGUGAAGUUGACCGCCUGGGGAGUACGGUCGCAAGAUUAAAACUCAAAGGAAUUGACGGGG
Molecule: ribosomal RNA, 570 nt
Filed under: uncultured bacterium
Lineage: Bacteria
Description: partial 16S ribosomal RNA
Rfam family: Bacterial small subunit ribosomal RNA
Source: RNAcentral